UCGGGCUGCUGCGGUGGCCUGCCGCCGCGGUGUCGCUGCGGCAGCGGAUGGCGUUCGUGCACCGGGAGUUGGGCGCCCCCUGGCCCGAU
RNAcentral lists this transfer RNA (89 nucleotides) under Streptomyces nigrescens. RNAcentral's name for it is "tRNA-Asp". Lineage: Bacteria; Bacillati; Actinomycetota; Actinomycetes; Kitasatosporales; Streptomycetaceae. The record is from RNAcentral.